This is a transfer RNA of Ovis aries (sheep), 72 nucleotides long. It matches the Rfam family "tRNA". From Rfam's summary of the family: Transfer RNA (tRNA) molecules are approximately 80 nucleotides in length. Their secondary structure includes four short double-helical elements and three loops (D, anti-codon, and T loops). The record is from Rfam. Lineage: Eukaryota; Metazoa; Chordata; Mammalia; Artiodactyla; Bovidae.
UCCCUGGUGGCUCAGAUGGUAAAGUGUCUGCCUACAAUGUGGGAGACCCAGGUUCGAUCCCUGGGUUGGGAA